UCCCUGCUAGACCUUGGUUAGAUUUCUUCUGCCUGGUUCUUACCUAAACGGCCUUCUGCCUGCACAAUGCUUGCCUUUUCUGCAUCCUGGGAUCACAACAACAGCCGACAUGCGGCAUUGUCACAGUUUUGGUAGCAGCUUCAUCCAGAGUCCUGUUAUUACAGGGUAGAAUUUGAAGGAAUGAUCAAAUAUGUCUGCCAGGUUGUAGCAAAAUAGCUGAAGAGGAGAAUAUGGACCUCUCUGCUCAAAUUAACUCGUGCAAAAUGGGACUGACCAAGUGAGUGGAGUGUAAUUUGCAGCCAUUUUUAAGGAUUCUGACUUCUAAAAAAAGGAUUUGGUCGGCGUUUUAAUGGAGAAAAUCUAAAAGACUCUACCCAAAUUAGGAGCACCCUCAAGGGGAGAAAUACUGAGCCGGACCCUGCAGAAAAACGGAGAAAGAAGUGCAGACAUGGCAGUCAAUAAUGACAGAAAGAUAAGGAGGUUCCGCCUUGGCAGCCAUCAAACAUUCAUCCUGCUCAUUUCCAUAUCAAGGGACAUCGCCGUUCAUUGGACUCGGAGCAGGGUCGCGGGGGGUGCUGGAGCCUAUCUCAGCUGCAUUCGGGCGGAAGGCGGGGUACACCCUGGACAAGUCGCCACCUCAUCGCAGGGCCAACACAGAUAGACAGACAACAUUCACACUCACAUUCACACACUAGGGCCAAUUUAGUGUUACCAAUCAACCUAUCCCCAAAAAGUUAAAGUCCCAACG
Molecule: long non-coding RNA, 748 nt
Organism: Entelurus aequoreus (snake pipefish)
Lineage: Eukaryota; Metazoa; Chordata; Actinopteri; Syngnathiformes; Syngnathidae
Exons: 3
Source: RefSeq, a predicted model, not a curated record